GACGAACGCUGGCGGCGUGCUUAACACAUGCCAGUCGAACGGAAAGGCCCUGCUUUUGUGGGGUGCUCGAGUGGCGAACGGGUGAGUAACACGUGAGUAACCUGCCCUUGACUUUGGGAUAACUUCAGGAAACUGGGGCUAAUACCGGAUAGGAGCUCCUGCUGCAUGGUGGGGGUUGGAAAGUUUCGGCGGUUGGGGAUGGACUCGCGGCUUAUCAGCUUGUUGGUGGGGUAGUGGCUUACCAAGGCUUUGACGGGUAACCGGCCUGAGAGGGUGACCGGCCACAUUGGGACUGAGAUACGGCCCAGACUCCUACGGGAGGCAGCAGUGGGGAAUAUUGCACAAUGGGCGGAAGCCUGAUGCAGCAACGCCGCGUGCGGGAUGACGGCCUUCGGGUUGUAAACCGCUUUCGCCUGUGACGAAGCGUGAGUGACGGUAAUGGGUAAAGAAGCACCGGCUAACUACGUG
This 468-nucleotide ribosomal RNA is filed under the name uncultured bacterium. RNAcentral describes it as "partial 16S ribosomal RNA". It matches the Rfam family "Bacterial small subunit ribosomal RNA", at positions 28 to 507 of the family's 1533-position model. The record is from RNAcentral.